CCGCGCGCGCGGCGGGCUACGGGAGGCAGCAGUGGGGAAUAUUGCACAAUGGGCGCAAGCCUGAUGCAGCCAUGCCGCGUGUAUGAAGAAGGCCUUCGGGUUGUAAAGUACUUUCAGCGGGGAGGAAGGCGUUGAGGUUAAUAACCUCAGCGAUUGACGUUACCCGCAGAAGAAGCACCGGCUAACUCCGUGCCAGCAGCCGCGGUAAUA
RNAcentral lists this ribosomal RNA (210 nucleotides) under uncultured Citrobacter sp. RNAcentral describes it as "partial 16S ribosomal RNA". It matches the Rfam family "Bacterial small subunit ribosomal RNA", at positions 312 to 525 of the family's 1533-position model. The record is from RNAcentral. Lineage: Bacteria; Pseudomonadati; Pseudomonadota; Gammaproteobacteria; Enterobacterales; Enterobacteriaceae.